Molecule: long non-coding RNA, 2879 nt
Organism: Schistocerca nitens (vagrant locust)
Lineage: Eukaryota; Metazoa; Arthropoda; Insecta; Orthoptera; Acrididae
Exons: 3
Source: RefSeq, a predicted model, not a curated record
GGCACUGCUCAUACGCGAAUUCAGCUCUGCGCAUGCGCAAGAGCCCGCUGGCAACUGCUCAUACGAACCUUGAAUUCACCUUCCAUUCUCUUUACUGCUCUCUAUCCUGCCGCGCGGUUGAUACAUUUGUUAGAGAACCUAUAUACACGCUCUCUAACCAGUAGCGUUCGCGGUGGAUCGUCGUGUAAUACCAGCUUAAAUGGUGAAGGUGUACUACUGUCGUCAUUUAUAUCUUUUCAGCUCGGGUCGUGGAGUAAGCAAAGGUAUUACGUGUUGUGAUUAUAGAGAACAUCUCGAAAGUAGCAAGAGGUUGACGAGGUAAAUCAUCUAAAAAUGUUUGUAUGUGAACAGCUCAAAUCAGAUUUUUACAGAAAGUUGUUGGAGAUUGAUUGUUCAUGAAAUCACACAAUCAUUCCGGAGAUGACCAUGUAGAAGUAUUGAAAAGUGUGCAAUGCCUUUCAUUGCGAACGCUGCACGCAAUGCAGCUGUAGAAACGAUGUUUGUUUUAAAUUUGACUGAUAAAAGAAAUUACUUUCUGUACAGCGCGUUAAGAAUUUGUUGAUCGUGAAGUAAAACGAUAAAGAUCGUGCUUGUACUCAAUACUGUGAUAACAUCAAAUCCAAGAAAGAUUUACUUAAGAAGAAGCGGUGAAAUGAAACCUAUGCUUUUGUAAAAAAAAGUAAGCUAUUGUCGUUCACGUAAAGACUGUAAUAACCCUAGUUUUUUAUUUUAAAAUGUAGUAAGCCUGUUAUUGUCUCCGUAGUAAUGCCAAACUUUUUUUUUAAAAUAUGUGUUAGGCCUAUAUGUAGCGUAUAACAUGGGAAGUAAGAGAGCACGAAAACCGGAGUUGGUGCAUUUAAGCGGUGUAUACCGUCUUCAUGGUGUUUCAAGAAAUUAAAAUUUUUGGAAGAAUACUAUAUGCCACAGACAAGGAAAAAGUACACAUGUACUUGUCACAGAAGAAAGCUAAGGUAGACAACAGUGUGUCGUAUGAAAGUGUUCCUGCAGCAUCUUCCACCACUAAUAUUGCAGAAGUCCAAGAAGAAGAUUGUGGGGAGCCUCUGGACAUUGAAAGAAGUGUUAGUGUGUGUGUGUCACAUGACAUGGUACUGCCAUGUCCAGUGUCAUAUCAGAUUCAAAGUUUGCUUCGGAUUAAAUACAAAUGUAAUAUUGCUUUUUCUACAAAUAACAACUUGUGAAAAAAUAUCAUCCAUAAUUUAAAGUCAACUACUAGCCCUGUGCAGAAUUCUGGUGUCUACAAGAUUUCAUGUGACACUUGAGGUGCCUGGAUUCCGAGUGCAUACCAUGCUGUGUAUAUCUUUGUCGAGAGUUUCAUAGCAUGUUCAUUCCACUUCAUUUUGCUGUCAAUGGGCAGCCCUAAGAAUUUUGUUGUAGGUACAUCAUCUAUGUUCUUUAUGUUGAGUUAUUUUGUUUUCCUGAGACCAUUUGUCAACAUCCCUCAGCACUUCAGUUGAAUUUUCCAGCGUUUGUGCUGGUAUCUUACUGGUGAUUACUAUGUUGCUGUCAUCAGCAAACAAUAUCUUCUCUCCAUGGCUGAUACGUUGUGGGAAAUCAUUUAUAUACACCAGAAACAAUACUGGGCCCAGUACACUUCCUUGAGUGGCCCCAAUAUUGAUGUAUUGUGGAUCAGAUAUGUUUCUUAAUGUACUUUGAUCAACUGGAGAUGUGUGUAAUCUCUACUGACUGUACUCUGUUUUCUAGAUAUGAACAAAACCAUUUGAGAACCACUCCCCUUACUCCUAAUGCCUCUAACUUAUGAUUUGAUAUAAAAGAUAAACAAUUGACUUUUUGAAAAAUUAAAAUUAUCACUGUAAGUACUUCUUCAUUGUGAUACCCAUGUAUAAAUUUAAGGAUUUUUACUUAACUGAAAAUAGAUUCUUACAAAGUUUCCAAUUUAUUUUCAUGUGGUCGUAGAUUCCAGGUACCUGGGUCAGAACGUUGUAGAUUGAGCAACUAUUUAGUUUUUACUCUUUAUUAUACAUACAGGCAAAGGUGCUUUGUAAAAUUUAACAAAGUUAGUUUCCGAAGUAACUUACUUUAUGGCCAAGAAGUUGAUAGACGACUUGUUACUUUGGCUUUUGGAAGUUACCUUCAAACAAUCCUGCAAGAAAUAGGACAUCUCAUUAGCCUUUUAUUUGUAUCUUACAAACAUACGACCUGCAUCUCAUCCUGUAGUAAGGCUGAUUAAGUGAAGUACAGUAAUCAGUUUUACAAUCUACUUUAAUAUUAAAAUUUGAGGACUUUACACCACAUGUUCAGCAUAAGCACUGGACAGCUGAACUUCCAGUUGUACUAUUUAUUUAUUUAUUUGUCCAUAUAAAUCUCUUUUUAAGAACAUAUAUUGUAUACAGAAUAUUGGACAGAAAACGAUUUUAACUAUUGGGUUUUCAAAUGUCAAACAUACAUUUUAUAAAUUUUUAUGACAAAUUGGAACUAUACAGUUAAUAAUUACAAAUUUUUGAAAUACUGUAUAUUUAUAACUUAUUUUUACAAUUAAAGAUACAAAUUCAUUUUUUUUCUUGCAUAAGAUACUGUGAGAUUGAAUAGUAGCAGUUUUUCAGAAGGUAGGAUGUCAGACUUUUUAAAGCUUUGUAGUUCAGUAAGAGACUUUAUAUGUCUUGAUAAUUUGUUGUAAAGUUUUGUUCCUGCAUGAUAUACACCUUUUUGGCAUAAUGUGGUGUUACAAUGAUUAACAUGUAUGUCACUGUCUGACCUGGUACUGUAAUCAUAGACACUUUUGUUUUGAGGAAAAGGUUUUCUUUUCUCAGUAUGCUUUUUUUGACAUGUGUGACUACUUCCAGUAUGUAAAUGCAGGGAAACGGUAGGAUCUUUAGAUCUUUAAAGAAAGAUUUGCAUUA